UUCAUCUCUCUCUCUCUCUCUCCCUCUCUCUCUCUGAGUUUCUGCUUCUCCAACGCACCUAGAUCUUGACAUUUCCUUCCACACAGUUUAAUUUCUCCUGAUCCAUCUUCGAUCUUCUUAAUUCCUUCUGGUGCAUGUGCUUUUCCAUUCACCAAGAUGAUGAUGAUCUGUCUCAUUCACCCAUAUCCUUUUCUCGUGGUAUUUCUUUUUAAUGGUGGUUUUUUGGUUCAGGAAAAAUCUGACCCACAAGCUCAAACGCCAAGAAUUUCCCAUAAGGAAAAGUAGUUGGAGAGAGUUUUUUGGUUUUUUGUGGGUAUCUCAGCCAACUAUUCUGCCCGUGCGGAUAAUUAGAUUAAUUAUUUAAUUAACUAAUUAUAAAACUACUUCACAAAAAAAAAAAAAAAAACUUUACCUUCACUUCGUCGCGAGUUUCAUUUCGAUUCAUAUUUUUCUAUUAGGGUUCCAUCUGCUACCUCCGCCUCGUGCUUCCCAUUGGCUACCUCACCUGCCACGUCAACACUAUGUUUUUUGUGGAAACCUAACUUGUAUAUAUUAAACUCUGUGUUUCUCCUGUUUCUUUCAUGUUUUUUCCUUUCACUUCACUUCAGUACCGCUGAUCCUCUCUUUGACUUAGGAUUCCAGGUUUUUCUUUUUCUUUUUUCUUUUUUCUUUUUUCUUUUUUUCUUUUUGGGCUAUUAAUCUUUUUCUCCCCCUAUUUCUUUCUCACCUGUGGCUCGUUUCUGUUAUGCACAGAUUACUUCCAUGUAAUUAAUACAGUCGUUGUUUGCUGGCGCAGCAUCAUUAAGAUUCACAUGCCAAUAUAUGCAAGGUGGUAGCAAUUUCAUGGUUAAUCUUUUUCUGUUUUUUUUUUGCCAAAUUAAUGUUGGAGUUGAGAAUCUUGAUGAUGCUGCAUCGGCGGAUAAAUGGCUACAAACCUGAUAGCAGCUAUAGGAUCUACUAGAUUUUGCAUUAAUUUGAAUAAGGUGAACUCUUUUCAAUUUUUUCAGACUUUUGUAUUAAUUUCUUCUACUUAAUUAAUUUGAUGGUUAUUGAUAUAUAGGACAUUUUUUCUCUCUCCUAUUUAUACGAUUUGAGUAUUUUUUAUUUCACUGUUUAUUUGCAGGAAUCGAAGGAUAUAUAUGAAAUAGAGGUUAUAUAUUGAAGUCAUGCGAAGAAGAAAGCUGAAAGAAGAAUCUUUGAGGCAUGUCAUGUGGGGGCAGUUAUUGACAAAAGCUAGCUGUAAUGUCAUUUUGACAAGAGAAAAAAAAGGGCAAUGAAUCAUUCCUUCUUCCGAAGGUCCACAAGUACGUUUAGCUGAGAAAAAAACAAUAACAACGAGUACAAUAAGAUCAUAGCAAAUCAAUUUUACUUCCAACAUAUUUGUAUGCAUGUGCAGAUUAUUCAUGCUUCUUUGGUCCUUGAUUGAUUUCU
Long non-coding RNA from Corylus avellana, 1431 nucleotides. RefSeq lists it as uncharacterized. The record is from RefSeq and is a predicted model, not a curated record. Lineage: Eukaryota; Viridiplantae; Streptophyta; Magnoliopsida; Fagales; Betulaceae.